CCAGACUCCUACGGGAGGCAGCAGUGAGGAAUAUUGGUCAAUGGGCGGAAGCCUGAACCAGCCAAGUCGCGUGAGGGAAGAAGGCCCUGCGGGUCGCAGACCUCUUUGGCCGGGGAGCAAGGCCGCCGACGUGUCGGCGGAAGGAGAGUACCCGGAGAACAAGCAUCGGCUAACUCCGUGCCAGCAGCCGCGGUAAUACGGAGGAUGCGAGCGUUAUCCGGAUUUAUUGGGUUUAAAGGGUGCGCAGGCGGCUCGUAAGGCCGGGGGGAAAAUGCGGGGGCGAAACCCGGCCGGCCGUUGGGACUGGGGGGCGUGAGGGGGCGAGAAGAAGCCGGAAUGCGUGGGGGAGGGGGGGAAAG
Molecule: ribosomal RNA, 359 nt
Filed under: uncultured bacterium
Lineage: Bacteria
Description: partial 16S ribosomal RNA
Rfam family: Bacterial small subunit ribosomal RNA
Source: RNAcentral